Molecule: transfer RNA, 73 nt
Filed under: Bacteroidota bacterium
Lineage: Bacteria; Pseudomonadati; Bacteroidota
Description: Bacteroidetes bacterium (sediment metagenome) tRNA-Lys
Rfam family: tRNA
About the family: Transfer RNA (tRNA) molecules are approximately 80 nucleotides in length. Their secondary structure includes four short double-helical elements and three loops (D, anti-codon, and T loops).
Source: RNAcentral
GCACGCGUAGCUCAGUUGGCAGAGCAGCUGACUCUUAAUCAGCGGGUCGUGGGUUCGAAUCCCUCCGCGUGUA